RNAcentral lists this ribosomal RNA (433 nucleotides) under uncultured bacterium. RNAcentral's name for it is "partial 16S ribosomal RNA". It matches the Rfam family "Bacterial small subunit ribosomal RNA", at positions 29 to 507 of the family's 1533-position model. The record is from RNAcentral.
AACGAACGCUGGCGGCAGGCCUAACACAUGCAAGUCGAGCGAGGACUUCGGUUCUAGCGGCGGACGGGUGAGUAACGCGUGGGAAUGUGCCCUUCUCUACGGAAUAGCCCUGGGAAACUGGGAGUAAUACCGUAUACGCCCUAUUGGGGAAAGAUUUAUCGGAGAAGGAUCAGCCCGCGUUGGAUUAGGUAGUUGGUGGGGUAAUGGCCUACCAAGCCGACGAUCCAUAGCUGGUUUGAGAGGAUGAUCAGCCACACUGGGACUGGGACACGGCCCAGACUCCUACGGGAGGCAGCAGUGGGGAAUCUUAGACAAUGGGGGCAACCCUGAUCUAGCCAUGCCGCGUGAGUGAUGAAGGCCUUAGGGUUGUAAAGCUCUUUCAGCUGGGAAGAUAAUGACGGUACCAGCAGAAGAAGCCCCGGCUAACUCCGUG